Molecule: ribosomal RNA, 420 nt
Filed under: uncultured Glomeromycotina
Lineage: Eukaryota; Fungi; Glomeromycota
Description: SSU rRNA
Rfam family: Eukaryotic small subunit ribosomal RNA
Source: RNAcentral
AGCAGCCGCGGUAAUUCCAGCUCCAAUAGCGUAUAUUAAAGUUGCUGCAGUUAAAAGCUCGUAGUUGAAUUUCGGGACUAAUAUGUCGGUCGUGCCUCGGUACGUACUGGUUUAUUGGUUUCUCCUUUCUGAAGAACCAUGAUGUCAUUUAUUUGGUGUCGUGGGGAAUCAGGACUGUUACUUUGAAAAAUUAGAGUGUUUAAAGCGGGCUCACGCUUGAAUACAUUAGCAUGGAAUAAUGAAAUAGGACGUUUGAUUCUAUUUUGUUGGUUUCUAGGGUCGACGUAAUGAUUAAUAGGGAUAGUUGGGGGCAUUAGUAUUCAAUUGUCAGAGGUGAAAUUCUUGGAUUUAUUGAAGACUAACUACUGCGAAAGCAUUUGCCAAGGAUGUUUUCAUUAAUCAAGAACGAAAGUUAGGGAU